GGGGGUGUUUUGGUUUUGACAGCGCCGAUGCUGGAUGGUAAGCAUGCCGGGCGUGGAGGCCUUGCCCGUAAAUCUCAGACCUCGAACAAUCAGUUGCCAACAACAACUAUGCACUCGCUGCUUAAUUUGCCAAGCAAAUUAGCUUAAUCCGUCCCGCCAAGGCUGCGGGGCCGACGAGUAUCCCUCGGAACUUCCGCCUCAUAAGGGCCGAUCAAGGGGUAUCAUCCAUUUGAGGCUGCUCCGGUGGACGCCUUUAAAGCCGGCUAAGAUUUAAAGGCUAAGGGACGCUUCGCCCGCCUUCCGGCAGGGCUUCCCCUACAACCAAAGGAAGGAUAAGCAUGUAGAAAGCCGCCUGGUGCGACGUUUGGACAGCGGUUCGAGUCCGCUCACCUCCACU
RNAcentral lists this transfer-messenger RNA (397 nucleotides) under bovine gut metagenome. It matches the Rfam family "transfer-messenger RNA". From Rfam's summary of the family: Bacterial tmRNA, also known as 10Sa RNA or SsrA, is named for its dual tRNA and mRNA-like properties. The record is from RNAcentral.